ACCCAUGCUCAACACAUCGCCGGAUCCAUCAAUCACACCUCAGUUACUAUCUGUGAAGUCCGCAUCAAUGACAUCCCCAUCAUUGGGUCCCUUCGCAGGUCCAGCACCAGGCGUAGGCCCGGCCUCAGCAUCAGGGGUAGAUCCAGCUGCACCAGGCUGGUUGUACAUUGCCUGCCCGAUCUGCAUCACCUCCUGGUUCAAAGCAGCCAUGGCGUCCUUCAUGCCCUGUGUUGAUCCACCAGAAAUGGCGUCUUUGAGCUCCUGGAGCUUCACAUCCACCUUCUCUUUCACAGGAGCAGGGACUUUGUCGCCGAGCUCCUUCAGCUGCUUCUCGGUCUGGUAGACCACAGAGUCUGCCUGGUUUUUGGUGUCAAUGGCAUCUCUCUUCUCCUUAUCCUCCUUGGCAAACUUGUCAGCCUCUUCUACCAUUCUCUCAACCUGCAAAAGGAGGCAGUUCAAGAAGGGUUCAUGCACCAAUGCAGGUACUAAUUUUCAUGGAACCAGAGGUAUCAUACUAUUCUACAGAAUGGUAGAAACAUAACAGUGACAUCAGAGUUGUCAAUGAUACCGCCAGAUCAAAAGGAAACCAGCACCACAUCAUUGACAUGACGAGAAAUAAAUCUGGCAAAUUUUAUGUCCGGCCACCAAAUCACCACAAACAGCUCACUACCAUUUAUCAAACCAAAUAAUGCCUAAGCUGAAGUUUUGUGACAUACCUCAUCCUUAGGUAGCGUACUAGCGCCAGUAAUGGUGAUAUCCUGUUUCUUUCCAGUGCCCUUAUCAAUCGCAGCAACUGAGAGAAUACCAUUUGCAUCAAUAUCAAACUUCACUUCAAUUUGUGGGACACCACGAGGUGCAGGAGGAAUCCCAUCCAACCGGAAGCUUCCAAGAGACUUGUUGUCCCUGACAAACUCUCUCUCUCCCUGGAGAACAUUGAUCUCAACACUCGUCUGUCCAUCUGCAGCUGUUGAGAAUACCUCUGAUUUUGAGGUGGGCAGUGUGGUAUUCCUGGGGAUAAUCUUUGUCAUCACUCCACCCAAUGUCUCCAAACCAAGAGAUAAUGGAGUAACAUCCAGA
Molecule: long non-coding RNA, 1077 nt
Filed under: Setaria viridis
Lineage: Eukaryota; Viridiplantae; Streptophyta; Magnoliopsida; Poales; Poaceae
Description: long non-coding RNA (SVIR_LNC002597)
Source: RNAcentral